This 70-nucleotide transfer RNA is filed under the name Dicaeum cruentatum. RNAcentral describes it as "tRNA-Glu". It matches the Rfam family "tRNA". Rfam says of the family: Transfer RNA (tRNA) molecules are approximately 80 nucleotides in length. Their secondary structure includes four short double-helical elements and three loops (D, anti-codon, and T loops). Further hydrogen bonds mediate the characteristic L-shaped molecular structure. tRNAs have two regions of fundamental functional importance: the anti-codon, which is responsible for specific mRNA codon recognition, and the 3' end, to which the tRNAs corresponding amino acid is attached (by aminoacyl-tRNA synthetases). tRNAs cope with the degeneracy of the genetic code in two manners: having more than one tRNA (with a specific anti-codon) for a particular amino acid; and 'wobble' base-pairing, i.e. permitting non-standard base-pairing at the 3rd anti-codon position. The record is from RNAcentral. Lineage: Eukaryota; Metazoa; Chordata; Aves; Passeriformes; Dicaeidae.
GUUUCUGUAGUUAAAUUUUAUAACGACGGCUUUUCAGGCCGUAAGUCUUGGAGAAAGCCGAGCAGGAAUU